UCCCCCGUGAGGGGGCAGUCUCGCCUGACAUAUAAAACAGACAACGAGGGUUGCGUUCGUUACCCCACUGAAGGGAACAACUCAAGCCACGGACUGACGACGACCAUGCAUCACCUGCCCAGCUGCCUUGCGGGGGCCCUAGUUUCCUAGGGCUUACAGCUGAGUUUCAAACCCUGGUGAGGUUCUUCGUUUACCAUCGAAUUGAGCCGCAUGAUCCACCGCUUGUGCAAGUCCCCGUCUAUUCCUUUGAGUUUUAAUCUUGCGAUCGUACUACCCAGGCGCCUAACUUAACGCGUUAGCUUCGCCCCAGAGAGGGUCGAUACUCCCUAGAGCCAGUUAGGAUCGUUUAGGGCGUGGACUAC
This 362-nucleotide unclassified non-coding RNA is filed under the name uncultured bacterium. RNAcentral's name for it is "contains 16S-23S intergenic spacer region". The record is from RNAcentral.